GUCUCUUUGAGAAAUUAAUAAUAAAGAGUUUGGCCUGCUCAGUGAGAUUUUUAACAGCUGCGGUAUUAUAACUGUACUAAGGUAGCAUAAUAAUUUGCCUUAUAAAUUAGGGCUAGAAUGAAUGGUUUGACGAAAAUUAUACUGUCUCUAUUUUAAUUGAUAGAAAUUAAUUUUUAUAGUGAAAAAGCUUAAAUAGUUUAAAGGGACGAGAAGACCCUAUUGAGCUUUAUAUUAGUUAUAAUAAAAUAUAAUUUAUUUAGUUAAAUUAAAUUUAUAUUUAUUAUGUUUAAUUUUGGUUGGGGUGAUCAAGGAAUAAGAUAGAUAUUAUUUAACUUCCUUAACAAAUUAAUUUUUUAGAAUAAUUAACCAAUGAUAUUGCUUAUAUGAUAAGUUACCAUAGGGAUAACAGCGUAAUUUUUUUGGAGAGUUCAUAUUAAAAAAAGAGAUUGCGACCUCGAUGUUGGAUUAAAAUAACCAUGUGGUGAAGAGGCUUUAUAUGGUGAAUCUGUUCGAUUUUUAAAAUUUU
Molecule: ribosomal RNA, 526 nt
Filed under: Muusoctopus levis
Lineage: Eukaryota; Metazoa; Mollusca; Cephalopoda; Octopoda; Octopodidae
Description: Benthoctopus levis partial 16S ribosomal RNA
Rfam family: Bacterial large subunit ribosomal RNA
Source: RNAcentral